CAAGCUCGAAGGAUGCCAUCAA
RNAcentral lists this unclassified non-coding RNA (22 nucleotides) under Mus musculus (house mouse). Its description in RNAcentral is "oocyte_clustered_small_RNA10649". Lineage: Eukaryota; Metazoa; Chordata; Mammalia; Rodentia; Muridae. The record is from RNAcentral.